AUGUUAUGCAGCACCUCCUGUCCUCCUCCUUGCCCUCCACUCUCGGUGGGCAGUCCCUGGGUCAAGGUUGGGGGUGCUUCCUUGGUCUCCGGAACAGCCAGGCCUGUGGGGCGGGACCUGGAGCCCGGAGUCAGGGGCGGGGGGAACUGGGUGACCCGGCGGGGAGCCUGGGGAUGGAAGCCGCCGACACUGAGCCGGCCGGUCGCCUGGGAGGACCCUGAAGGCCACGACCCGCGGCGGUGUCCGCUGGAGCCUGGGGCGCGCAGCUGCCUGGUGUCCGUGUCCCGCCCUCCCGGCGCCUCCAGUCUGGGGGUCUGGGUCCCUGCAGAGGCUGCUGCCGCUCGGAUCCGCCCGGAUGCCCCAUCACGCCGGCUCUCGCCCCCAGCUGUCCCGAAGGUAGAGGGCCCCACGGUGCAGCCCACGGCCCUAGGAGGGCCCAUCGUCCGUGGCUCCACAUGGCCGUGGUCUACUCACCCGGGAGAGCGCGCCCGCACACUGAUCUGCAGAGAGAGUGGGCCUGAGGCGCCCCCCUGGCGCCCUCUUCCUUGGGACGGAGGCCCCCGACCUGCCCCAACGGGAUCUCCUCCUGGGAACACUGCCCUGUCUCACCCUCCCCCGACCGGGACAGGCUGGGUCUGCCCCCAGCACUUCUGUCCCGAAUCUGAAAUCAGUGGAAUGACUAGGGCCUGGCCCUCCCAGCAGGGGUGUGACCCGGACCCUGGCCCUCCCAGCAGGCCUGCGGGCACCGCUCACCCAACUUCCGCAGCAGGACGCCCUGGCUGGGGCUCAGGCCCACUUGGGGCGCCAGUAGCUGCAUCUUCUGGGCGCCUUCCGGAAACAGCUCCGGGGCUGGAGCUGAAGGUGGGGAGGGCGGGUGAGCUAAGGGGAAGGGGUUGGAGGGGCGAAGAGAGGGCGAGAGGGGCAGGGAGGGGUGAGAGGGGCGGGGAGAGGCCGGGACCCGCGGUCACAGACACCGGGAGCCAGCGGUUCCGCCUUCCCCGCCUUCCCCGUGCAGAAGGCACUGGUGCAGGCACAGGGGGGACAUUCCAGACCCCAGGCUGGAGGGUGUCUGGGCCUCCGCCCCGCAGCCCGCCCACCGUAGAGCUGUAG
This 1110-nucleotide long non-coding RNA is filed under the name Piliocolobus tephrosceles (Ugandan red Colobus). RNAcentral describes it as "lncRNA (ENSPTEG00000024441.1)". The record is from RNAcentral. Lineage: Eukaryota; Metazoa; Chordata; Mammalia; Primates; Cercopithecidae.